This 497-nucleotide ribosomal RNA is filed under the name uncultured bacterium. Its description in RNAcentral is "partial 16S ribosomal RNA". It matches the Rfam family "Bacterial small subunit ribosomal RNA", at positions 27 to 507 of the family's 1533-position model. The record is from RNAcentral.
GGAUGAACGCUGGCGGCGUGCCUACUCCAUGCAAGUCGAGCGAACGGACGAGAAGCUUGCUUCUCUGAUGUUCGCGGCGGACGGGUGAGUAACACGUGGAUAACCUACCUAUAAGACUGGGAUAACUUCGGGAAACCGGAGCUAAUACCGGAUAUAUUUUGAACCGCAUGGUUCAAAAGUGAAAGACGGUCUUGCUGUCACUUAUAGAUGGAUCCGCGCUGCAUUAGCUAGUUGGUAAGGUAACGGCUUACCAAGGCAACGAUGCAUAGCCGACCUGAGAGGGUGAUCGGCCACACUGGAACUGAGACACGGUCCAGACUCCUACGGGAGGCAGCAGUAGGGAAUCUUCCGCAAUGGGCGAAAGCCUGACGGAGCAACGCCGCGUGAGUGAUGAAGGUCUUCGGAUCGUAAAACUCUGUUAUUAGGGAAGAACAUAUGUGUAAGUAACUGUGCACAUCUUGACGGUACCUAAUCAGAAAGCCACGGCUAACUACGUG